Molecule: ribosomal RNA, 372 nt
Filed under: uncultured bacterium
Lineage: Bacteria
Description: bacterial SSU rRNA
Rfam family: Bacterial small subunit ribosomal RNA
Source: RNAcentral
ACGAAGGGGGCUAGCGUUGCUCGGAAUGACUGGGCGUAAAGGGCGCGUAGGCGGCUUACAUAGUUAGGCGUGAAAUUCCUGGGCUCAACCUGGGGACUGCGUCUAAUACAUGUAGGCUUGAGUGUGAAAGAGGGUCGUGGAAUUUCCAGUGUAGAGGUGAAAUUCGUAGAUAUUGGAAAGAACACCGGUGGCGAAGGCGGCGACCUGGUUCAUUACUGACGCUGAGGCGCGAAAGCGUGGGGAGCAAACAGGAUUAGAUACCCUGGUAGUCCACGCUGUAAACGAUGUGUGCUGGAUGUUGGGGUGCUUAGCACUUCAGUGUCGUAGCUAACGCGGUAAGCACACCGCCUGGGGAGUACGGCCGCAAGGUUG